CAGUAUGGCGCGGAGUGGGACGAAAGAGAGGCUACGUUCGGUGACGAACAAUAACGAUAAAGCGUAUAAUGGUUAAGCGCGACAAAUAUACAUAGGCAGCUCUAGGAGCGCGAGCUUCCUUGGAACUUGGAGCGCCAACGAAGUGUGGUGCAACGGAGGGAGAGAGAGAGAAAAACACAGAGCGAGAGAGAGUGUGAUAGAGGUGAACGGAGGAGGAAGAGGUUAGAGAAGGGAUCCACAUAUGCAUACAAUUGAUACAGAUAUACCAUCGUCUUUAUAUACGUGUCGCGUUAUUCUUGCUGCUGCCGCGCGCGGUAUACCGAGCCGGCAUAACACGAACGGCCCGAGCGGAGAGCGCCUCAUAGUCUACAAUACGAUAACGCCGCUCUCAUAGAUUCGAUGUAGCCAGCCGAACGAACCAGACUACCGGAUACCUGCGCGACCGUCCUCCGCCGCCUUAUUGCGCUGACUAUUCGCGACAGGACAGGUUCGCGUACAUCUGUUCUUGUCAUAAGGAGUGAUUUAGGGCUGGUUGCGGGCAUUGAUCUACCCGCCGCGGAGGAUAUCGACCAUAGAACCGCGGAUCUCUCUUCAAAAAAUCCAAGAUCGAACGUGUUCCAUUAAGCAACAACGUUUCAAUGCCAUUUUUCAGGGUAAUGUUGUAUGAUUUGAGGUUAAGUUAAUGGAAUAAGGAGAUAGCAGAGGAUGUCGGUAAAGUUUGAAGGUGAAGUCGACACAUAGAUUGCUUUUAUGUAGCAAUGGCGUUCAACCGCUCUGUUUUCAAUUCUAUGGCGUCUGCGAUAUCGAUAUCGAUUACAUUGAUUUUGUUUGAAUAACAGAGUUUUUGGUACUGUUUAGUGAAUUAUCUUUAAUUGUACGUGUUUUCCGUGAAUAGUGUAAUAUUUUGAAGUGUUCACAACUUAACCUGGAUCUAACCUAAAAUUCACCUCAUGUUUAUGGUACCUUUGACUGAUCUUUUGAUUAUAUCCAUUGUUACACCCGAGUCAGAAGAGAGGUAGGCCUGGCCACGUUGGUACCGCCUACUAGAGUGAUCCCGACAAGGAAGGACUUGACCAACCUCGUCCUGCCCCUCCAGCACGAUCCUCUACUCCUGGACUCAACCUGACGGGAUCACGUUCUGUGCUGUCGUUCCGAUUAAUUCUUUUGCUGUAAAGGGUGCACUCUUUGGCCGAUUCACCUGUCGCAAAGCGUAUUGGAGAUCGUUGAUGCCGUGGAAAGAGAAAUGGCGGCAGUUCAGGUUUAUGCAACCCAGAUAUAUUUAUCAUUCUUCCAGAAGAGUAAUUACAAAGACAUUUAUGACAGAAAAUCUUCAUUCAUCGGUCCUCAUCCACUGAACCAGAUGAAUCGAACCUACGUUACAACUUAUUAAGUCGAUAUUCCACGAAAACGACACUUUUGAAAAUUUCCUUGCCUCGUUGCCAAAUCUUCAAAUUCCCCUAAACGAAUUAGAUGUUAAUCCACGCUCCUAAGCACACGUGCUUCAUCGUGACAAUCGUAGCGAGGAUAGGACAGGAUAGCAUAACGACGAUUAACCACGUUCAUCCAGUAGCUGGUGUAUAUACAUAUAUAUCGGGUUUCGUGAUAUUUCUUAAUUAAAUAUAGCCUCAAGUUAAAAAUGAAAUUAAAUAGAAGCCAGUAUUUUUCGCCGCCGCCUACCGGCGCCGCGUUCACCGCAUGGCCAACCCUUUCAACCAGUUUCUCGGUCGUCGACAAUGGCGAGUAAGGUUGCACGGCCGUCGUACGCCCAUUUCGACUCUCUCUCUCUGCAACCCCUUCUCGCUUUCUACGGGCCACCCACCAUACAUAUUUCACGUCGAAAUAAUUAAACGCCGCUGGACCGCGAGUCGACUCGCCUCGGCUCGAUUUCGAAGCCUGGCCUCGCUGAUUAUUAAUUAGAUCGUGCGUGCCUUACCGAGGCAAGCCUCUCGAUUUCCCGAUAAGCUGCUGACCAUCGGUGUGGGCUCCUAGCCAUGAAAACUCCUGCGGUAAAACGAGUAUUAAUGGAAACUGAUAGACCCAACCGAUUAUCUUUGCGUGCAAAGAGACGUUCUAGUUAUAUGCGUGUUGGAUUAUCUUUGUUUGAAUUUCAUUUUACCCUCCUUAUACAGAACAGUGGUGUUUUAAAAUGAUUUGAAAUAAUGUAAAAUGAUUUUAAUAUUAAAAAUGCUGGAUGGGGAAUAUUUGAAUCGCAUCGACUUGUCUUAACAUCAACGUUGAUUUACUAUUUUUGCUAUUGAAACAGAAAUCUCCAUUUUCUUUAUUACACAGUGUGUGUUCUUUUUCUGUUAAAUCCUCUGAAAUUUAUAAAUAUUUUAAUUAGGUAUAUCAUUUGUAACACUCUGGGAAUCUUCUCCUAAAACAAAAAUUACUUUGAAACUUUCGGCAAGAUAUAAAUGACAUAAUGAAAAUUAUAGGGGAAAAAAUAUAGAAAUAGAUAGAAUUUUUAAAAUACUUAAGCGUUGAAAAUUAGAGUUACAUACAAAUAAGUAAUUUAUGUCAUACUGAUUAAUAUAAGGCGGUUUCCCUAAAAAUUCAUAGGAUUAAAAUGAUUUUAACAAUGUUAAAACAUUUGUUCAUCGUCUUAAUGAUCUGCUGUUCAAUUUGUCGAGAAGUUUGACGUUCGCGUGGCACUAAUUCUUGGAGAUACUGUCGUCUCAAAGGCGAUUAUCAAUUGCCUUGUCAAUUACACCCCGUCCAAGAAUGACGUGCACAUGUUACUGAACCCUCCUGUAACUAGACCCCUUCCUCUUCCUCUGUGUUGCUGCGACCGAAUCUCGAGGCUCUGGCAUGAUCGCAACGAGUUAUUUAAUUACCACGAUCUAUCACUGGCUGUCAGCUUCCAGUCUAUAAUGCAUGAUCGAUCGAGCCUCGACUUUCCUAUGGCAACCCUUUGCGUCCACACCUCCGGUCCCGUGUGUGUUACGCGUGUUCAUCUAACCGAAACGCCAAGGAAAUCUCUUCUGUUCCAUCAGAUUUUCUGUCGUUGAUACCUUUAUACCUUUGUUUGAGAAAGCAGCUAUGAAAUAUUUUCUUUUCUUUUUCAUAGUAAUUGUUAUAUUACAAAUAUUUCUUGCGUAAUAUAAUAUAUUGAGAGCAUUCAUUAUUUUACUUCUUUUCCUGAAGAAUUCCUCACUUUUUCUAUAUCUAUAGCAUAAUCGCAUGAAGUAUUUAAUGUUACGUUUAAUAUUAAGGUUCGAAUUGGCAACUUUGUUCAUCGUUGUUCAUCGAAUACUAUCGACCUUAUUGCGUUGAUGAUAGUUACUAUUGAUGAUAGUCGCUCUUCCUAUUUUAUGAAACAUAGUAUGUACAACGUACAAUCUGACGAUCUUAUUAAACGAGUCCUAUGAUAUUCCGGUUUAUUAAAAAUUGAUCAAUCAAAUAUACCAUCAAAUCUCUAAAACUGUUUCACACGGUCGAGAGGAUUUCGAUGUUCGGAAAAUACAAAGCAAUCGUGGCAUUCAAAGUGUAAAGCAUUCUGCGUUCGACACAGAUUAAAUCCAACCACAUUGAAACGAAAUUCCUUUGUUGCUCGCUGAACCUGGUGCAAGCGUCUUCAAAGGGGCGCACGUAUUUAGACAUUAUAAUUUUUUCACAGUGGAAGGGAAUCAGGAAUCGAUUAAGGUAUAAGUUUUAUGAGAAGAAAGAGAGAUCGGUUGGAAGAGUGGAACGAGCUCGCUCGGCGCUUUUCCAUCGUCAUUUUUAUCGGCGCGGAUAAGACAGCCGGGCUAAUUCGCAUUCCCCUUGAUGUCUGCCGGAGUUAACAGUUUUAAGGGAUGAAACGAGUAUAGAUCGAAGGCUGGAAGCAUCGCGAAGGCGAAGGAAGGCGAUGCUUAAGAAGGGAGAAGGCACGCAGGUUAGGGGCGACGACGAGAAAAGGAGACGAAGCAAGAAAUUGAUACAGCAUACGAAAAUGAAUUGCCCCUUUGCCGAAGAAUGUUCCACGGCAAUCUGCCUUGUGCCUCGCUUUCUUAUACUUUUUAUGCUCAUUUUCAAUUUUCCCCAUACUGCCGAUCCACCGGGCUCUCCUAUAAAACGUUGCGGUAACGUGUCACUCGCGUCUCCCACUUGCACUUUUAUUCUUUCCAACGAUGACAGGAUGAAUACAAACUGACUCAUUAUUUCCGCCGCCUUGUUUCACGUUGCGAUCGAAAAUGGAUUAUGUAUAUGAUUCUAGGUAUUCAAUUAACGAAUUCAUUAUUCCUGGAGGAAAAUCUAUUGUUUUAUGGAGGGAUAGCAUUUUUUAUUUUAUUGGCAAUUCGAUGAAAAUGUUGGUGUUUAGACUGAUCAACCCAAGUAAAAUUAUUUACAACUGAAAAUUAUCAAUCUACUGAUUUACGAUUCUUUUCAUUCUUUCUUUUUCUGUUGUUAAUGAAAUCCACCGUUAAAUAUUCUUUAUAGAGAAACGAAUAGAUCUAAUCACGCAAUUUUCUUAAUAUUCCUGGUAUAAUUUAAUUUACAAAUCUAAAGAUAAUACGUACUCCAUGGAAUCUAUAAAUUUUGGAAAACCAUUUGUAAAAAGAGCACGCAAAAUUUUGUACCUUCUUACACCUUCUUUAUUUAAUCUACCCACCUGUGUAAUCUAUAUCCGUAGAAUCUUUUUCUAAUUUCUAUCCCUGUGCCUACCCCUUAAAAUACUAACGUAUAUUCAAAGACGACCGCGUACAUUAAUCACCAUGAUCGACGCACAUACAUAUAUACAACGUGUAACAAGUACAAUUAAAACAUGACAGGCAGACAAUGAUAAGAAUCCGAAUCGAAUUUAAAACGACGUCCUGGCAGGAUGGUGGGGUCGAAGAAGAUAAAUUUCAGCCCGUGGAUGCGAAAUCAAGGCUCGAGUAUCUAAAGUGCUUCCAAGACGAGUCGUUGCUGGUGCGAGAUAGGGCCAUGUUCGUUCCGUUGCUUAUUUGUCGCUGGAGAAACGAAACGACUGGGGGAAAUGGCGAGUCGGUUCUGGGGGUGGAGUUGAAGUUGGGGAUUCUUCGAUACGGUACAAAUAACACUUGCAGACACCGAUUCCACUUUCUCUCGCUUUCUCUCUUUCUCUGUUGCACGUAAAAGGAGCAACUCCAGAUUCUUCCAUUCGCCUCGGGACUCCUCCAUUCGUGGUUCGAUGGCUUCGUAGAUGCUAUCGCUAAGAAGGAAUUCGGAAUCCUAAGAAUACCGCGAUCGUGAUACUGUCUUUUACUUGCGAUACUUUUUUCUUGACUACGAAUAGCUUUAAAUUUUAAUUCAACCUGUUUCGAUUAAAUAAACGAAAGACUCUUUAGAAAUUAUAAUCGCGAGUUUCAUCGUGUUGCAUGAUUUAAAAAAGAAGAAGAGACAUUUGCAAAUAUAUUGUAUGAAAUUAUUCGCCCACUCCCUUCACGGUUAGAAGGAUCGGGCGAAGCAAUCUCGUUCGUUCAGCACGAAGCAUUUUUGGAGCGUUCUUAAAGCAUUCUUAGAGCACUGGAAUGUUUGAUUUCUAAAUCGAGCUAUCUCCAAACGACAGGUUCCCCUUUUUCACUUUCGUUUUACUUUACUAGAUUCAGGUUUACUAGAUGCAGAGUGACAAAAAGAAAAGAAGAUUUUAAACAUUCAUGAAUAUAAAUACUGUUUAUUAUAUUAUUCGAAAAUUGUGUAUUGUUGAAUAAUAGAGUAGGUCACGUGUGCUAUACCUGGAAGAUCGACACAAUAAUUCAAUUACUAUCAAAGCGUGACGAAUUGAAGCAUUUCGUUAACCGUUAUAAUCAGCUUUAGCGAACCAGAAGAGAUUAAGCGGUUGCGAAAAUUUCGGUAGAGCGAGGCUGAAUUAUUUAGCAACGCGGAAGAACGUAUCGGUGGUAAGCAGCAAGCACUUCCUAUUUCCGUUCCGUAAGCCUCCUUGCCUUUUUGUCCCGCUCGACAACAAUGGACCAACUCGAUUUCCAGCGCGGAAACGCGUUUCCUACAGUUGCUUGAGCCGAUUCCGCCGUCAGCAAGGAGGCAAGCGAAGAAAAAGCAUCGAUCUUGGGGAAAAAAGCGACGCGGGUUCCGAAUACCUGGUACCUACGGCGCUGGAAAAAAUAUGGGAAACCCCAUCCUUGGAAAAGAAGUGGGGGCGGCCGUGAAGGAUGGGGUGGUUACCGUGCGAUACGUGGGUAUAAUAUUUCAAUGCUCGCCGGAGCCUGUCCGGCAAGGCUCGUCUCUCGCUGCCAUCUCUGUCAAGUAAUGUUAUUAUAAUUAUACGCGUGUGUGCUUGGUCGGUCAUUUCUUGUGCCCGUCCAUCCCCACUUCCACACGCCACCCCUUUGUCUGUCUUUCUCUUCUUUCACCUUUUCCGCCACCAGCGCCGAGCUGCCUGCCUCUUCUGUCGCCUCUCUUCUCCUUUUUACCUCGCCUUUCUCGUCCCUCUGCUCUCUGUUCGACGUUCUCUAUGCCCGGGUAUUGUGCAAUUAAAAUGUCGUAAUUGUCCUUUGGAAUUUAUCUUGAAAUUCGUCGCUCGCCAGCCUUUCAUCUCCCCCGUACUCGCUGUUUCGCGAUACUCGUUUGGAUAGAGAUAUCGAACCGUCGAAUCGUCGAUAUGAAACGUUACAGGCGUUUAAAGCGAUAACGCAAUAUUACACCUCUUAUCUGCUCGAUAUGCGACCAAAUUCCUUCCUACGUAUCUCCAUCGAAUAAAAUUUCUUUCUCUCCUGAAACUAUUCUGUUACUUUCUUCACAAACUUCACAAGAAUAAAGUUGUAUCCAUUCGAAAGUAUCCAGUAUGAAGUAUUUUGCUAACACUUGUAUAUUUAAAAACAAAGAGGAUAGGUAAUAGCGGAGAUCGAAGAAGCUUCUUGGUUGAAACGGAUGUUCAUUGUAUCCGCAUUCUUGGACGGCAGCAAGUCCACCAACGGAGGCAGCCUCGGUCGAUACUUACCCCGCGACGAAAGGCCGCCGAGGAGAUAAAACCGGAUGGUGUGUAUGUAUGCGAUCACCUGAAUUUCAGAAUUGCAAAUUCUUUAAUUCACGGGGACGCAAUGGCGGCGACGGCAGCCGCCGCGGUUUGCGACAGUGGUGCCCGCCAGCAAAAUACCUUCGCCUGACCUAUACAAACAUCGCGGGAGACGAGGGAUGUGUAUUCAAAAAUUUACAUAGGUACAUUUUGAUUAAAGUGUCCUAGAAAGCAAAUCUAAUACAGCAGCCGGCCCGUACCUACAUGCCGUACCCCCUCGUCCUUCUCUCUUUCCCUUUUUACUCCCGUUUCCCUCUUCCCCGUGUUCUUCUCUUUCGCGCCGUCUCUUCUCUCACGCCCCUUCUAUCUAUAGAGGGAAAGAGCGGAGCGCGCGGAAUUGCGGAGAGGAUUAUUACGUAUCCUUCGGAAACUUUCCGCUGGACGGAGAAUUGGAUCCGGACGAAGUAUGAAAGGACUGAAUGUUUCACGGACGCGUCUAUUAUAUCAUGAUAAUCUCGGGAUUUAUUACUCGGUGCUGGGCUUAUUUUGACGGCGGCGUGAUGCAUUAAGCGACUCGCAAGUGGAAAAUGAUACGCGCGAAUGUUAAAUCUCUGAGGACCGUAAUUAAAAGAAUGCCCCGGAUGAUCAACGAACGCUGAUCGUUUCCUCGUCCAAAUUUUUACUUACCUCCGACCUUUAUGUCGAAGUUCAUCGUUUAUUGUCGUACAGAUUAUUCUUGCAAAAUGCGGUGUUUUAAGUAUGGCUAUCAGUAGGUUGAAUGUAUUUGUGCAUUUAUGAGAAUUUUGAUGAUUUAGGAACAUAUAGAACGCGUGUGAGGCAUCCAAAUACUUCUACUGUGUUUACAAGUUGAUUUUAUAAAAAUGUGUUCAUAACAAGUAUACAUUCGCAUUAAACGUUUUCCAACUUCUACGUAGAUUUUCACACUGGUUUCAAAUUUUACCAAUACAGUGACGAUAGUUGUGUCUCAUUACAGUCUUAAUAAAAUCUCAAGAUGUUUCAUAUAACGCUGUGGACAGAAAAGUUUUCCUUUAUAAAUGUUAGAAUACUUUCAUGAGCAAUUGCACGUAAUACUUGACGCAGUAAAAUUAGAUACGACGGAAUCUAUUCCAACGGGAACUUAACGUCGCGGGUAUAAAAGGCUAGGUCCUUUGCAUCCUCGUGCGCCGAUUGGAUUUGCCAAUUAAUUGCCGACGAGGGAUAAAGCCGGCGGACCGUGGAUGAAAGAAUAACGACGCGGAAACGAAACGAAAUUUAAAUAUUCUCGCGGUAUUGCCGACAUUCCUCUGAGCCUCCCCGGCUCACAGGAAGGGAGGAGCGCGAGCUCGGUGUAAUUGCAAAAUUGCAUUAGCUUUGUGUUCUUCUGCCGUUCGCCCAGACGUAAGAGAUACGCAUGUAGAGAGCGUUGCAUCAGAUGAUUCAUAUGGAUUUUCAUGUUUCCCUUCCACCACCCCAUCCAGCGAUAAGUAUCGUUCUUUCAGACCGACGGACCGACGGCCGAAGCGAGAUAAAUCUUUCGUAGAUUUUUGUGAACGCCAAGGGAAUCAUUAUUGCGAGUGCUGAUCACCUAGCCUUUUAAUUAUGGAAAUGUACGGAAUGCUUCCUGGAUGUUAGGAGAUACGAAACGUCCGCCGAAUGGGUGUCUGAUAAAGUACAUGCACUUUGAUAAAAUACAGACACGUAUCGGAGCUUCGUUAUUAUUCGCACGAAGCAUCGUUGGAAAAGGUAAUCUCCUUGAAAAGAUAUUUUCUCGGUGUAUCCAAAAUGCAUAUUUAACCUAAUAAAGAAAAAUAUCAUAGUUAUAUAAUUGUUCCUAAAAAUAUG
Molecule: long non-coding RNA, 8755 nt
Organism: Bombus terrestris (buff-tailed bumblebee)
Lineage: Eukaryota; Metazoa; Arthropoda; Insecta; Hymenoptera; Apidae
Exons: 6
Source: RefSeq, a predicted model, not a curated record